Long non-coding RNA from Macaca fascicularis (crab-eating macaque), 1595 nucleotides. The record is from Ensembl. Lineage: Eukaryota; Metazoa; Chordata; Mammalia; Primates; Cercopithecidae.
UUUUUUUUUAUUUUGGCGCAUUCAGUAACAAAAUUUGAUAAAGAGAAACUACAAAAUAUAACAAAUUCUGAUGAAUACAAAAUACAAAAUUUUGACAGACACUGCUAAAAACAGUAAAAUACACCUAAGGGUGGAAAAAAUAGACCAAAUGGACAAAACAUCAGGUUACAGUUAGUCCUGAACAACACGUAGAUGCCACCUACAGAUUCUGAAUUUUAGACUGUGAACUACUUUUUUAAGUGCACAUGAUGUAUCUAUAAACACCAACCACAUUAUUAGGCCAAAAUAAAAGCAAUUAGUAUUCUGAACAUGGUAUCACCAUGAAUCAAAGAGGAAAUUUAAAACAAAAUGAUAGAAUGCAGGUACACCUCAGAGAUAUUGUGGGUUCAGCUCCAGGCCACUGCAAUAAAGUGAAUAUCACAAUAAGGUGAGUUACACACAUAUUUUAGUUUCCUAGUGCAUAUAUAAGUUAGGUUUACACUAUAUUGUAGUCUAUUAAGUAUGAAAUAGCAUUACGUCUAAAAAUGUAAUGCGCAUACCUUAUUUUAAGAUACUUUAGUGCUAAAAAAUAGUAACAAUCCUCCAAGCCUUCAGCAAGCCAUAAUCUUUUUGUUGGUGGAGGGCCUUGCUUGGAUGUUGGUGGCUGAUGACUGAUCAGGGUGGUGGCUGCUGGAGGUUGGGGUGGCUGUGGCAAUUUUGUAAAAUGACACAACGGUGAAGUCUGCCCCGUCAAUGGAGUCUUCCUUCCAUACAAGAUGUUUCUGCAGCAUGCAAUGCUGUUUGAUAACAUUUUACUCACAGGGCUUCUUUCAAAAUUGGACUCAAUCCACUCAAACCCUGCUGCUGCUUUAUCAACAAAGUAUAAAGGAUAUUCCAAAACCUUUGCUGUGUUUUCAACAAUGUUCACAUUGUUUUCACCACGAGAAGUUUCCCUCUCAAUAAACUACUUUCUUUGAUCAUCCCUAAGAAGCUGCCCCUCAUUCAUUCAAGCUUUAUCAAGACAUUGCAGCAAUUUAGCCACAGAGGUGCCACCUCUAAUUCUAGUUCUCUUGCUGUUUCCACCACAUCUGCAGUGACUCCCUCCACUGAAACCUUCAGCUCCUCAAAGCCAUUCCUGAGGGCUGGAAUCAACUUCUUCUAAACUCCUAUCAAUGUUGAUAUUUUGACCUCCUCUCAUGAAUCACAAAUGCUCCUAAUGACGUUUAGAAUGGUGAAUCCUCUCCACAAGGUUUGCAAUUGACUUCGCCCAGGUCCAUCAUAGGAAUCACAAUCUAUGGCAGCUAUAGCCUUAUAAAAUGUAUUUCUUAAAGAAUAAGACAUUAACAUUGAAAUUACUCCUUGAUCCAUGGGCUGCAGAAUGGAUGUUGUGUUAACAGCAUGAAAACAAUAUUCAUUCCCUUGAACAUUCUCCAUCACAGCUCUUGGGUGACGAGGCACCUUAUCAAUGAGCAGUGAUAUAGUGAAAGGAAUCUUUUUUCUGAGCAGUAGGUCUCGACAGUGGGCUUAAAUCUUCAGUAGACCACGCCAUACACAGGUGGGCUGUCAUCCGUGCUUUGCUGUCCCACUUACAGAGUCAUGGGCAGAAUAGAUUUUGC